Long non-coding RNA from Bradysia coprophila, 640 nucleotides. RefSeq lists it as uncharacterized. NCBI's taxonomy places the organism in Eukaryota, Metazoa, Arthropoda, Insecta, Diptera, Sciaridae. The record is from RefSeq and is a predicted model, not a curated record.
CGAUGCUUUGUUCAACAUUAAGCAGUUAGGUCCCGUUUCGCGAAGAAUAAUCGCCAUGAGAUUUAUUUCGUGUAUUUUUCUCCUUUUAACUGUGAGCGUAGAAUUAUUUUCUGCUCAAAAAAUCGAAUGUAAGGCAAAUUCUUACAAAAAUGAUGCGUCUCUACUAUCUAAACUCAAAGGAUAUUUGUAUACCAUAUCGACAAGCAUUUCAUAUUCGAAUAAUGAAAUAUUCAAAUUUAAUGCUAUAGUAAAGGAUAACAUUUUCGUUAGAACAACAAAUGACGCUAAGUGUUGCAAAACGAUGAGGGUUGCGACGACCGUAAAGAAAGAUCGUUUUACAUACGUGAUUACGAAUGAUAAAGAUUGUCCAACGCAAUUGACUGAAAACGCUAGUAUGAAAUUGAUUUCCACAAAUGCUGACCGCGAUGGUUCUUACUGUAUCCUUGUCUGGACAUGUCGCACUUCGAGACAAGGCGUGCACGCAUUCUGCUCGAAAAAUAAAGUAUCCGAAAAUAUGAAGAAAUGGAUUUCUGGCCAGUACAAGAAACUGCGUUUAACAGAACAUAAAGUUGUUCAAAAUAAAGAUUACAAGGACGGAAAGUGUUUUAAAAAAUAAUAAAAAUUCUGAAUUACUAAAUUA